Molecule: ribosomal RNA, 65 nt
Filed under: Volucribacter psittacicida
Lineage: Bacteria; Pseudomonadati; Pseudomonadota; Gammaproteobacteria; Pasteurellales; Pasteurellaceae
Source: RNAcentral
GUGAAACGCCGUGACGCCGAUGGUAGUGUGGGGUCUCCCCAUGUGAGAGUAGGUCACCGCCAGGU